AUGAAUUACAAGCUUGCUAUGAGUGUCUUUGAUCCAAAGAUCAACUUUGUGGAGCAGGACCCUGCUUCAAGUGAAUUGUCAAACUCCAUGAAGUUUGUUCUGAACCCUGAUGAGAUGAAGAUGCUUGAAGCUUACUCAAAUAGCCUUAUUGACUACCCCUUGAUUCGAGAUGUUGCUCAAAAACUUGCGCGUGAGUACUUUUUGGAGCAUUUGCCAGUUUCACUUUCAUAUGUCCAGGCUUCCAUAUUGCUUUGCUAUGGCCUGCAACACAAAGACAUCUCUGAAAUAGAGGUAGAAAUGAAUUUGGAAAGGCAACAAGUAUUGUCCUUUUUCAUGAAAACCAUGAAGAGGCUUUUCAAAUACCUGCAUAAUCUAAAAUCAAAAGAAUUUUCAUCAACUGCAUCUCGGCUUAAAGCGAUUACAUUGGAACCACAUCUGAUAUCUGUUGAUGAAGAUCUCAAUGAUGCUGCAAAAAAAGUUCAGGAUGACAUGAAAGCCAAGACAACGGAAGGUUUGUUGGACCCAGAGCUAUUUCAGCAAUUCGCUAUCGUAGACAGAGAGGCUGAUUUUGAAAGUGCUCUCCAGAAUGGCGGUGGGAAGAUAAGUUCUGGUGGUGUAGUUAGUGUAAAAUCCAACAAAAGCAAAUUGGAGAAGAAGCAUUCCAAGCUAGAGAGUGAAAACAGUGACAAGAAAAGACACAAAAACAACUCCGGAUCCAAAUCACAUAAGAAGAGGAAGGGUUAAUCGUGUUCACGUAACAACUUUUACCCUCCUUUCCUUUCCUUAAGGCCUGCUUAGGAGACUUCUCCUCCGUGGAGGAAUAUAUCAAGAUAAUGCGUAUCUUACAUCAUAUUAUUUUCUUAAUCGCAACCAUCAUCACUAUUUAUGCAAUCAUAUAUAGGUCCAAUUUUGUCAUAGUUUCUUUGCAAAAGUACCAAUUUUCUUA
This 946-nucleotide unclassified non-coding RNA is filed under the name Hevea brasiliensis (rubber tree). Lineage: Eukaryota; Viridiplantae; Streptophyta; Magnoliopsida; Malpighiales; Euphorbiaceae. The record is from RNAcentral.